GGCCAGACUCCUACGGGAGGCAGCAGUGGGGAAUAUUGCACAAUGGGCGAAAGCCUGAUGCAGCGACGCCGCGUGAAGGAUGAAGUAUUUCGGUAUGUAAACUUCUAUCAGCAGGGAAGAAAAUGACGGUACCUGACUAAGAAGCCCCGGCUAACUACGUGCCAGCAGCCGCGGUAAUACGUAGGGGGCAAGCGUUAUCCGGAUUUACUGGGUGUAAAGGGGGCGCAGACGGCGAUGCAAGCCAGGAGUGAAAGCCCGGGGCCCAACCCCGGGACUGCUCUUGGAACUGCGUGGCUGGAGUGCAGGAGGGGCAGGCGGAAUUCCUGGUGUAGCGGUGAAAUGCGUAGAUAUCAGGAGGAACACCGGUGGCGAAGGCGGCCUGCUGGACUGCAACUGACGUUGAGGCCCGAAAGCGUGGGGAGCAAACAGGAUUAGAUACCCCGGUA
Molecule: ribosomal RNA, 446 nt
Filed under: uncultured bacterium
Lineage: Bacteria
Description: bacterial SSU rRNA
Rfam family: Bacterial small subunit ribosomal RNA
Source: RNAcentral